CUGUGCGUUUACCUCUCGGAGCAGAGGGUGUCCCGUGGUUCCUCCGAUUGUGACAUAUGGGUGCAUGAGGGUGGAGCCACCGCGACUAUUGCGGAAAACUGUAACUACGGCAGGGUAUACUGGUCCUAUCCAGAGUCAGAUCUGAAGAUCAACUUUAAAAACAAUGUCUGUGUGAGUUUCUCUGAUGAAGGCAUUGUGAGCGAAAUCUCCGACGUCUCGGACGGGAAAGGAAAGACCCUCACCUUGCCAGCCCCUGGUUCCUCCGUGUGCACCAGCGCUAGUGGUGGUGACGUCAUCCUCAAGCUCACAGCGACCAAGGGCAACAAUGCUAACAGUGUGUACAUUAAAUACAGCAUUAAAAUGUAAAUUUAUGCAAACAACCGUGUAAACUGCUGAACUAUAGGGAUGAUUUUGAUAAUGAUAAUAAUAAAUGACAUUUAUUUUGCGCUCAACCCUGAUUAAAGCGCACAGGCUCUGGACGCUUUACAAUACAGUACAACGUACAACAGUAAACUGUUUCGUCUUAACCUCCUGUUUGUGAUAGAAAUUUCCUUUUUUGUGCUAUUGUAUGUUUGAGGUAUGAAAUAAAUUAACUUUGGGAUUUAAAAGGUUUUCAAAGUAUUAGUAUGUUUGGGUUAUUUGAGUUAUGAAAUAAAUAAACAUUGGGAAAAAUUGAAC
Molecule: long non-coding RNA, 678 nt
Organism: Aplysia californica (California sea hare)
Lineage: Eukaryota; Metazoa; Mollusca; Gastropoda; Aplysiida; Aplysiidae
Exons: 3
Source: RefSeq, a predicted model, not a curated record